RNAcentral lists this ribosomal RNA (403 nucleotides) under uncultured Acetobacterium sp. RNAcentral describes it as "bacterial SSU rRNA". It matches the Rfam family "Bacterial small subunit ribosomal RNA", at positions 356 to 774 of the family's 1533-position model. Lineage: Bacteria; Bacillati; Bacillota; Clostridia; Eubacteriales; Eubacteriaceae. The record is from RNAcentral.
GGGGAAUAUUGCGCAAUGGGGGAAACCCUGAUGCAGCAAUACCGCGUGAGUGAUGAAGGUUUUCGGAUCGUAAAGCACUGUCAUUGGGGAAGAAAAAAAGACGGUACCCAAGAAGAAAGUCCAGGCUAACUACGUCGCCAGAGCCGCGGUAAUAAGUAGGGGACAAGCGUUGUCCGGAUUUACUGGGCGUAAAGGGCACGCAGGCGGUUGUUUAAGUCAGAUGUGAAAGGUACCGGCUCAACCGGUGACAUGCAUUUGAAACUGAAAGACUUGAGUAUUAGAGAGGCAAGUGGAAUUCCUAGUGUAGCGGUGAAAUGCGUAGAUAUGAGGAGGAACACCGGUGGCGAAGGCGGCUUGCUAGACAAAUACUGACGCUGAGGUGCGAAAGCGUGGGGAGCAAACA